UGCGGGGUGGUGUAGCGGUAGCACGUCUGCCUUUGGAGCAGAAAAUCCUAGGUUCGAAUCCUAGCCCCGCAGCCA
Molecule: transfer RNA, 75 nt
Filed under: Microgenomates group bacterium ADurb.Bin219
Lineage: Bacteria
Description: tRNA-Gln
Rfam family: tRNA
About the family: Transfer RNA (tRNA) molecules are approximately 80 nucleotides in length. Their secondary structure includes four short double-helical elements and three loops (D, anti-codon, and T loops).
Source: RNAcentral